Molecule: non-coding RNA, 72 nt
Organism: Ornithorhynchus anatinus (platypus)
Lineage: Eukaryota; Metazoa; Chordata; Mammalia; Monotremata; Ornithorhynchidae
Source: Rfam
AGCAGCGUGGCUCAGUGGAAAGAGCCCGGGCUUGGGAGUCAGAGGUCAUGGGUUCGAAUUCCGGCUCUGCUA